Molecule: signal recognition particle RNA, 100 nt
Filed under: Chlorobiales bacterium
Lineage: Bacteria; Pseudomonadati; Chlorobiota; Chlorobiia; Chlorobiales
Description: Bacterial small signal recognition particle RNA
Rfam family: Bacterial small signal recognition particle RNA
About the family: The signal recognition particle (SRP) is a universally conserved ribonucleoprotein involved in the co-translational targeting of proteins to membranes. Archaeal SRP consists of a 7S RNA and homologues of the eukaryotic SRP19 and SRP54 proteins.
Source: Rfam by way of RNAcentral
GGGUAAGUCCUAUACAGCGUUUGGCUACUCAACCAUGUCAGGGCCGGAAGGCAGCAGCAUCCAGCAGUUCAAAUGUGUGAUAUAGUUUCGCUUGCCCCUU